GCAGUGGUGGUUCAGUGGCAGAAUUCUGGCCUUCUGUGCAGGAGACCUGGGUUCGAUUCUCAGGCAAUGCA
Molecule: transfer RNA, 71 nt
Filed under: Loxodonta africana (African savanna elephant)
Lineage: Eukaryota; Metazoa; Chordata; Mammalia; Proboscidea; Elephantidae
Rfam family: tRNA
About the family: Transfer RNA (tRNA) molecules are approximately 80 nucleotides in length. Their secondary structure includes four short double-helical elements and three loops (D, anti-codon, and T loops).
Source: Rfam by way of RNAcentral